CCCACCUUCUGCCACUCAGCCGACCAACAUGCUGCCAGAGACUGCGGGGACAGUGACGUCUGCCUUUCCUUCCUUUCCCUCCCUUCCCCGCCCCAAUCUUUCCAAGGAAGCAGCUGGCCAGGACUUAGUCAGUAUCUACUGAAACCUUGAAUAUCUUGGCUGUGUUAACUGUUUUGACCCAACAUGGAGCGAAAAUGUUGGUUGUACCUUGAGAUUCUGACAUCUGGUUGAAGUCCAGGUUCACUGGCCCAGGACAGGUCAUUCAGCUGUUUGAAAAAAAACAGAAGAGAGACCAGGCCAUCCACUGAGGUAAUCUCCAUGCAGCAUGAACCACUGGUUCCAAUGAACCCACCAUCACCAUACUUCUCAGGAAUCGCUGGUCACUAGACUGAGAGUUCUGUGAAAGCUGAGAUCAUAUCUUACUAAUCUCUGUGUUCAUGGUUCCCAGCUCAGGGUCUAGCACUGAGGGAGUUCUCAGGAGAGUGUUCAUCAAUUAUUGAAUAAAAGCGAUUGCAAACCUCCU
Homo sapiens (human) is the source of this 523-nucleotide long non-coding RNA. NCBI's taxonomy places the organism in Eukaryota, Metazoa, Chordata, Mammalia, Primates, Hominidae. The record is from Ensembl.